GCCAAAGUGGUGCAGUGCUUUGAGCACUGGACUAUAACUCAGGAAAUCAGGGUUCAGUUCCCUGUUUGGCC
Non-coding RNA from Phrynosoma platyrhinos (Desert horned lizard), 71 nucleotides. The record is from the annotation of a GenBank genome assembly. NCBI's taxonomy places the organism in Eukaryota, Metazoa, Chordata, Lepidosauria, Squamata, Phrynosomatidae.